AGAAUUUUAGAAGAGAUAUGGAUAGGACCAAUAUUGCUGCAUUUUGGACAGCAGUGAUGUGUAGAAGAUGGGUGGGGAAGUAAUGAAGCUGGCAGGAGAAAGUGACAGGUGGCAUCGACAUUUGCUUUCAAUAGCUAGUGGAUGUACAUUUCAUGGAAGACCCUGAGGGGAUCUCUAAAAGCCAUGAUUGGUCAAGAAAAAGUAUCUUGAUUUAGUUCAAGAAUUGAAACAAUAAAAUAAUUUGGCUUUAAGGACAUUUAAGUAUUUUUCAAAGAGAUGAUAUGUAAUUAAUAUGGCUUUAUGAACCUGAAUUUAUGUAAAUAUGUUAUUUUACUAUCCUCUCACCUUUCUUAAGCUUCAAUUCUUACCUAGUUGUGUUGGUUAUUUCCAGUUUGGAAAUCCCCUUUGAAAGAGAAAGAGACAAAAUAGGAGUUAGACUGUUUAGCUACAUUAUGGCAUUAGUUGAUAUUACUUAUUUUUUCCAAGUAAAGCUGCACCCGGCUCGGAGGGUCCUACCCCACGGAGUCUCGCUGAUUGCUAGCACAGCAAGACGGAAAUAUCUCUGAUGGAUUCUACAUUAGAUAGCAAGGUUGACAUACCUGGAAUGUAGAGAGCACUUGAGAAGUUUGUAAAGUUUUCAUUUGACAUAUUUAGACUGCUGAAAGUUUUAAAAUUUUUAUAAGCGUAGGUUUUGAUGUUGAAAACUUGUUUUUAGGGAGAAAAUCCCUAUAUCUUUGUUUAAAGGUAAUUAGACAGUAUCACUAACUGUCCCUGUGCAGUAAUAACAGCCUCAUUAUAUAGUAAAUGUGGGGCAAAAUCCAUUUGGAAAAUGUUAAGCUGCAUUUCCAGACAAGGUUGUAGUGUAUUUUUAAUUAGUGCAUGUAUGUUAUGUGUAAUUGCUAGUAGAACAAAGUUAUAUAUUUAAAACUGUUACUUGUAGAAACCUUUCCAGUUUUCCCAAAUACCAUGGGUUUUGUGCAUAGUUUAUACAAAUCUUUAAUUUACCAGACCGUCUUUUCAGUUUGUGGGU
RNAcentral lists this long non-coding RNA (1030 nucleotides) under Homo sapiens (human). Its description in RNAcentral is "non-protein coding lnc-SCIN-3:1". The record is from RNAcentral. Lineage: Eukaryota; Metazoa; Chordata; Mammalia; Primates; Hominidae.